AUUGAACGCUGGCGGCAUGCCUUACACAUGCAAGUCGAACGGUAACGGGCCUUCGGGUGCCGACGAGUGGCGAACGGGUGCGUAAUACAUCGGAACGUGCCCGAUCGUGGGGGAUAACGAGGCGAAAGCUUUGCUAAUACCGCAUACGAUCUACGGAUGAAAGCAGGGGACCGCAAGGCCUUGCGCGGACGGAGCGGCCGAUGGCAGAUUAGGUAGUUGGUGGGAUAAAAGCUUACCAAGCCGACGAUCUGUAGCUGGUCUGAGAGGAUGAUCAGCCACACUGGGACUGAGACACGGCCCAGACUCCUACGGGAGGCAGCAGUGGGGAAUUUUGGACAAUGGGCGCAAGCCUGAUCCAGCCAUGCCGCGUGCAGGAUGAAGGCCUUCGGGUUGUAAACUGCUUUUGUACGGAAAGAAAAGCCUUCUUUUAAUACAGGAGGGUCAUGACGGUACCGGAAGAAUAAGCACCGGCUAACUACGUG
This 482-nucleotide ribosomal RNA is filed under the name uncultured bacterium. RNAcentral describes it as "partial 16S ribosomal RNA". It matches the Rfam family "Bacterial small subunit ribosomal RNA", at positions 30 to 507 of the family's 1533-position model. The record is from RNAcentral.